CCUGAGAUCGGACGAGAUAACCC
This 23-nucleotide ribosomal RNA is filed under the name Dendrobaena veneta. RNAcentral describes it as "partial 28S ribosomal RNA". The record is from RNAcentral. Lineage: Eukaryota; Metazoa; Annelida; Clitellata; Crassiclitellata; Lumbricidae.